UGUUCAUGGACUUUAACACAGAGGAAACCAUCUUGUAAUAAAGACGCUGAGUCGACAUGAUAACAUGUGAUCAUGGUUGUUUUCUUGGUUGUGAACCAGGUCACCACAGAAGCCACCGACAUCGCAGCCACUCCAAGUCUCCAGAGAGGAGUUCAAAAAAGAGUCACAAGAAGAGCCGGAGAAACGAGUGACCUCGUUUUUUAUUUAAUAUCUUUUUCUUUUUCCCUCGGAGCCUCGUAUGAAACGUGACUUCUGUUUUUAUGGUCGUGUCGUUCUGAGUCUGUGUGAAGCUUUUCAGCUUCAUUCUGAAAAACCCCAAACACAGAUAAACUGUGGCCGUCAAUGAAAACAUCUGUAAGUGUAGGAAAUGGUUUUGUUGCAAACGUUUUCUGUUGAUUGAGUUUAUAAAGAUUCUGAUCGAUUGGU
Limanda limanda (common dab) is the source of this 426-nucleotide long non-coding RNA. RefSeq lists it as uncharacterized. The transcript has 2 exons. The record is from RefSeq and is a predicted model, not a curated record. Lineage: Eukaryota; Metazoa; Chordata; Actinopteri; Pleuronectiformes; Pleuronectidae.